GGAAAGGAGCCAGAGUGACUUAAAGGUAACCCACAAGGGAUAGGGAGCUGAGUCUGGAGGGUGGGCUGAAGAUGAGCCCAAGCAGUGUGAAAGACCCUUUUGUUUGUUUUUCAUUGAACCAAAGGAAAACACUGAAGAAGCUGAAGUACUUUAUGGGCAUAAUUGAGUCCUGUGGCCUUAAUCAGGCAAAAUUAAGGGAGGUCAAUGACAGUCUUUCCGUAGAAUUCCUAUGCAGAGUGAAUCACUACAAACAAGUACUAUGUGAAAUUCUUGGAAACAUGCUGUGGAAUGGUACAGCACAUCUCAACAGGAAAAGGUGGUUUUAGUGCCUCAUCAACUUGGUAUUUUAUGCUCUGGGCAAAGCCACAGAGCCCAGAAAAAAAUCACCUGUAAGUAAUAUUUCUGCUUAGUCACUGAGUCUGACAACAUCAGGAUAGGCACAUACCUCUGCUUCCAUUUAUGGAUUUUUACAAAUGCCUGGUCAAGGCAAAGAGUUUGGGUCAAAAAUAUUUGAGAGAGAGCUGAAAUGUCAAAGAGCCAAACACCUUAAAGUUGAUGUUGGAUGAUAAUGAAAGUCAGAGGCUCAUCAAGACUGGCCGCUGAAGAAUGAUGCUGUACUGUUGAGGAGAUUUACAGAUUUUCAGAGCCGAGCAGACUGAAAGGUCUUUGCUGAAUCUGAUGUUCAUUAAUUCUGCAAUGUCUUUCCUGCCCCCACUCUGCUCCUCUUCUUCCCCCUUUUUUUUUUCUAUAUGCAAGUUAAUAUAUUCUACCCAGACGGAAAAAUAAUAGUGUGAUUGGGCUGU
Long non-coding RNA from Chelonia mydas (Green sea turtle), 803 nucleotides. RefSeq lists it as uncharacterized. Lineage: Eukaryota; Metazoa; Chordata; Testudines; Cheloniidae. The transcript is spliced from 3 exons. The record is from RefSeq and is a predicted model, not a curated record.